Molecule: non-coding RNA, 85 nt
Organism: Ataeniobius toweri
Lineage: Eukaryota; Metazoa; Chordata; Actinopteri; Cyprinodontiformes; Goodeidae
Source: the annotation of a GenBank genome assembly
GGCUGCACGGUGGUGCAGUUGGUAGCACUGUUGCCUUGCAGCAAGAAGGUCCUGAAGGUCCUGGGUUCAAUUCCCAGUGGGGGCU